AGCGAACGCUGGCGGCAGGCUUAACACAUGCAAGUCGAACGGGCUUCUUCGGAAGUCAGUGGCAGACGGGUGAGUAACCCGUGGGAACGUGCCCUUCGGUUCGGAAUAACUCAGGGAAACUUGAGCUAAUACCGGAUACGCCCUUUUGGGGAAAGGUUUACUGCCGAAGGAUCGGCCCGCGUCUGAUUAGCUUGUUGGUGGGGUAACGGCCUACCAAGGCGACGAUCAGUAGCUGGUCUGAGAGGAUGAUCAGCCACACUGGGACUGAGACACGGCCCAGACUCCUACGGGAGGCAGCAGUGGGGAAUAUUGGACAAUGGGCGCAAGCCUGAUCCAGCCAUGCCGCGUGAGUGAUGAAGGCCUUAGGGUUGUAAAGCUCUUUUGUCCGGGACGAUAAUGACGGUACCGGAAGAAUAAGCCCCGGCUAACUUCGUG
Molecule: ribosomal RNA, 435 nt
Filed under: uncultured bacterium
Lineage: Bacteria
Description: partial 16S ribosomal RNA
Rfam family: Bacterial small subunit ribosomal RNA
Source: RNAcentral